AAGAUGGAAUUGAACCUGUAAAAUUACAUAAUCUAAGGUCAACAUAUGACAACAUUUUAAGGUUCUCAAUGGACGUGGGUAUACUUCCUGAGAAUCCUGUAUAGCUCAGAUCCAGAGUGUGUAGAGAUCCAUUUGAAGGAAAUUCAGGUAAAGAACCCGAAAUUUCAUUUUGUGCUAAAAUUUCAAGUGCUGGAGGGAUCCAUUUGAAGGAAAUUCAGGUAAAGAACCCGAAAUUUCAUUUUGUGCUAAGUUAAUAGUCUGCAGAGUUGAUACUUGGAAUAUCUUCUGAGGCACUUCUCCUAUCAAGUUGCAGGAAUAUAGACUCAAGACAGUCAGAUUGGAGAAGUCCAAAAAGAACUCUGGAAUUGGAGCAGAUAAAUUGUUCACAUCAAUACGGAUAACGGAGAGAAA
RNAcentral lists this long non-coding RNA (411 nucleotides) under Nicotiana benthamiana. RNAcentral describes it as "long non-coding RNA (NBEN_LNC039400)". Lineage: Eukaryota; Viridiplantae; Streptophyta; Magnoliopsida; Solanales; Solanaceae. The record is from RNAcentral.